This 86-nucleotide transfer RNA is filed under the name Candidatus Saccharimonadota bacterium. RNAcentral's name for it is "tRNA-Leu". It matches the Rfam family "tRNA". Rfam says of the family: Transfer RNA (tRNA) molecules are approximately 80 nucleotides in length. Their secondary structure includes four short double-helical elements and three loops (D, anti-codon, and T loops). The record is from RNAcentral. Lineage: Bacteria; Candidatus Saccharimonadota.
GCCGCUGUGGUGGAAUGGUAGACACAAGGGACUCAAAAUCCCUCGAGGGCAACUUCAUGUCAGUUCGACUCUGACCAGCGGUACCA